AACGAACGCUGGCGGCAUGCCUAACACAUGCAAGUCGAACGAGACCUUCGGGUCUAGUGGCGCACGGGUGCGUAACACGUGGGAAUCUGCCCUUUGCUUCGGAAUAACAGUUAGAAAUGACUGCUAAUACCGGAUGAUGUCGAAAGACCAAAGAUUUAUCGGCAAAGGAUGAGCCCGCGUAGGAUUAGGUAGUUGGUGGGGUAAAGGCCUACCAAGCCGACGAUCCUUAGCUGGUCUGAGAGGAUGAUCAGCCACACUGGGACUGAGACACGGCCCAGACUCCUACGGGAGGCAGCAGUGGGGAAUAUUGGACGAUGGGCGAAAGCCUGAUCCAGCAAUGCCGCGUGAGUGAUGAAGGCCUUAGGGUUGUAAAGCUCUUUUACCAGGGAUGAUAAUGACAGUACCUGGAGAAUAAGCUCCGGCUAACUCCGUG
This 433-nucleotide ribosomal RNA is filed under the name uncultured bacterium. RNAcentral's name for it is "partial 16S ribosomal RNA". It matches the Rfam family "Bacterial small subunit ribosomal RNA", at positions 29 to 507 of the family's 1533-position model. The record is from RNAcentral.